This 223-nucleotide unclassified non-coding RNA is filed under the name Glomus sp. RNAcentral describes it as "partial contains 5.8S ribosomal RNA and internal transcribed spacer 2". The stretch from base 1 to 71 matches the Rfam family "5.8S ribosomal RNA", at positions 84 to 154 of the family's 154-position model. Lineage: Eukaryota; Fungi; Glomeromycota; Glomeromycetes; Glomerales; Glomeraceae. The record is from RNAcentral.
GUGAAUCAUCGAAUUUUUGAACGCAAAUUGCACUCUCUGGUAUUCCGGAGAGUAUGCCUGUUUGAGGGUCAGUUUAAAUACAAAUCGGUGUGGUUUCUGCCUUUCGUGCUGACGCACCGGGUUUGGGUCGUCUUUCCUUCGGGUAAGUGACCUAAAAUUUUGCAUGAUUUUUUUCGAACGUAUUUAACUGCUUUUACGUACGUUUGCUAUCUCGAAUAAUAUG